GUGUUCACUUCAGCAGCACAUAUACUAAAAUUGGAGUGUUAUACAUUUAGCAUAGCCCCUGCACAAGGAUGACAUGCAAAUUUGUGAAGCAUUCCAUAUUUUU
Molecule: small nuclear RNA, 103 nt
Organism: Mastomys coucha (southern multimammate mouse)
Lineage: Eukaryota; Metazoa; Chordata; Mammalia; Rodentia; Muridae
Source: RefSeq, a predicted model, not a curated record